This is a long non-coding RNA of Stegostoma tigrinum, 927 nucleotides long. RefSeq lists it as uncharacterized. The transcript is spliced from 3 exons. NCBI's taxonomy places the organism in Eukaryota, Metazoa, Chordata, Chondrichthyes, Orectolobiformes, Stegostomatidae. The record is from RefSeq and is a predicted model, not a curated record.
GACGAUAUCGCCGCCACUCAUCUUUCUUGCUCACGAUGGAAGGGCUGUGAAGACAAACCAGGAUCGGCUUUCUCAGACCCAACCCAACGAAAUAUGAAUCAACUUUCCCAGCACAGACCAGGUCAGACCAAUUAAGGAUGGCGGAUUUCAUUUCCUGAAGGACAUUACUGAACCAAUGGAAUUUUUCCGCUACUGAAAGUGGUUACAUUUUGUUUAUUCAUUCACGGGAUGAGGGCGUUGCUGGCGAGUGAAGAUUUUUUGCCCAUCCCUAAUUGCCCAGAGGGCAGUUCAGAGUCAACCACAUUGCUGUGGGUCUGGAGUCACAGGUAGGCUGGACCAGUGAGCUAAAAGAUCUGGAAAGGAACAGCACCCCACUCCAAGUUCCAUUAAAGGCAAGACUGGAAUUUGUUAUUUUUCUUCAGUUUAUUGGAAUGUAAUUUCAUUAACAGAGUAAAUCUGAAAACAUUAAUUUACUGCAUAUAUGUAAUAAUUCAUAGUUAUUUAACUCUGCCUGUUUGUGUAAUUUUAGUUGCAGAAUGAUUGCUGUGCUUCCCCACAAAAUAGUCACUUGAACUGAAAAGUAGUAAUUUUAGUAUGUCAUCUGCUAAACAUUCAUACACUUGUUAUUUAUUUAAAUUAUUAUUUAAAAUGCAGCAAAUUUAGGGGAAAAAGGAAAUUGCUUUUCUAUGUUCAAAUUUAGAUCAUCUUGUAGUUUUGUCAAAUGACAAUGUUAACCUGAUUCUUUCUCCAUACAAAUGCUGCUGAAUCAGUUCUGUUUUUCUCUGAUCUGUUUGUUUUAUAAUUUUGUCUAGUACAUUUUGAAAAAGCAGUGAAAAACAGCAAACAGUUUUAAAAACAAAAUCAAGGAUGCAAUAUGGUUAUUUGGCCAAUCAAGUUCAUCUGUCAAAGCUGUUCCUACAAUUUCAA